RNAcentral lists this ribosomal RNA (498 nucleotides) under uncultured bacterium. RNAcentral describes it as "partial 16S ribosomal RNA". It matches the Rfam family "Bacterial small subunit ribosomal RNA", at positions 28 to 523 of the family's 1533-position model. The record is from RNAcentral.
GGUGAACGCUAGCGGCAGGCCUAAUACAUGCAAGUCGGACGGGAUUGGGGAGCUUGCUCCCCAUGAGAGUGGCGCACGGGUGCGUAACACGUAUGUAACCUACCCUUGUCAGGGGGAUAGCCUCUCGAAAGAGAGAUUAACACCGCAUAACAUUAUUGGAUGGCAUCAUUUAAUAAUCAAAUAUUUAUAGGACAAGGAUGGGCAUGCGGGACAUUAGCUAGUUGGUAGGGUAACGGCUUACCAAGGCUACGAUGUCUAGGGGAUCUGAGAGGAUGGCCCCCCACACGGGUACUGAGACACGGACCAGACUCCUACGGGAGGCAGCAGUAAGGAAUAUUGGUCAAUGGGCGCAAGCCUGAACCAGCCAUGCCGCGUGCAGGAAGACGGCCCUACGGGUUGUAAACUGCUUUUGCGCCGGAAUAAACCCUUUUACGAGUAAGAGGCUGAAUGUACGGCGAGAAUAAGGAUCGGCUAACUCCGUGCCAGCCGCCGCCGUAA